This 350-nucleotide long non-coding RNA is filed under the name Homo sapiens (human). Its description in RNAcentral is "non-protein coding lnc-CCR7-1:1". The record is from RNAcentral. Lineage: Eukaryota; Metazoa; Chordata; Mammalia; Primates; Hominidae.
CAUAGGGAAGAUUAACCAAAGGAAAGGGGACGGCAAGCCAGCCUGUGUCGCAGCGGCUGGUGACCUGGAUUCCUGCCCCUCUUCUGGACCGAGUGGCUGUGCCAGUGUGGGCAUGGGGCCCAAGGCUGCCGGCCUCCCAGGCAUUCACAUUCCACUCCCAGGAGCCCACAGCCUCUAGUGCUGCAGAGCUCCUGCCAGCCUGAUUGGAGCAGCUUAUGACAUGACAGUGGCCAGAAUGACACAGACCUCAGUCCCAUAACCGUCCCUCCAGCUCCCAUUUUCCGAGAGCCUGCUAGGUCCUACACAGAGUCCGGGGGGCGCAUUUCGCAUAUAGCAGCUCUAAUCAUCAC